This 496-nucleotide ribosomal RNA is filed under the name uncultured bacterium. Its description in RNAcentral is "partial 16S ribosomal RNA". It matches the Rfam family "Bacterial small subunit ribosomal RNA", at positions 29 to 507 of the family's 1533-position model. The record is from RNAcentral.
AUGAACGCUGGCGGCGUGCCUAAUACAUGCAAGUCGAGCGAACAGACGAGGAGCUUGCUCCUCUGACGUUAGCGGCGGACGGGUGAGUAACACGUGGAUAACCUAUCUAUAAGACUGGGAUAACUUCGGGAAACCGGAGCUAAUACCGGAUAAUAUAUUGAACCGCAUGGUUCAAUAGUGAAAGACGGUUUUGCUGUCACUUAUAGAUGGAUCCGCGCCGCAUUAGCUAGUUGGUAAGGUAACGGCUUACCAAGGCGACGAUGCGUAGCCGACCUGAGAGGGUGAUCGGCCACACUGGAACUGAGACACGGUCCAGACUCCUACGGGAGGCAGCAGUAGGGAAUCUUCCGCAAUGGGCGAAAGCCUGACGGAGCAACGCCGCGUGAGUGAUGAAGGUCUUCGGAUCGUAAAACUCUGUUAUUAGGGAAGAACAAAUGUGUAAGUAACUAUGCACGUCUUGACGGUACCUAAUCAGAAAGCCACGGCUAACUACGUG